Molecule: ribosomal RNA, 251 nt
Filed under: uncultured bacterium
Lineage: Bacteria
Description: partial 16S ribosomal RNA
Rfam family: Bacterial small subunit ribosomal RNA
Source: RNAcentral
CCGCCGGCGAGUGGCAAACGGGUGAGUAAUACAUCGGAACGUGCCCAGUAGUGGGGGAUAGCCCGGCGAAAGCCGGAUUAAUACCGCAUACGACCUACGGGUGAAAGCGGGGGACCGAAAGGCCUCGCGCUAUUGGAGCGGCCGAUGGCUGAUUAGCUAGUUGGUGGGGUAAAGGCCUACCAAGGCUACGAUCAGUCGCUGGUCUGAGAGGACGACCAGCCACACUGGGACUGAGACACGGCCCAGACUCC